RNAcentral lists this transfer RNA (69 nucleotides) under Bos taurus (domestic cattle). It matches the Rfam family "tRNA". Rfam says of the family: Transfer RNA (tRNA) molecules are approximately 80 nucleotides in length. RNAcentral also lists the same sequence under 5 other names. The record is from Rfam by way of RNAcentral. Lineage: Eukaryota; Metazoa; Chordata; Mammalia; Artiodactyla; Bovidae.
CCUGGUGGCUCAGAGGGUAAAGCGUCUGCCUGCAAUGCAGGGGACCCGGGUUCGAUCCCUGGGUCAGGA